RNAcentral lists this ribosomal RNA (387 nucleotides) under Entomoneis alata. Its description in RNAcentral is "eukaryotic LSU rRNA". The stretch from base 1 to 106 matches the Rfam family "5.8S ribosomal RNA", at positions 50 to 154 of the family's 154-position model. Lineage: Eukaryota; Bacillariophyta; Bacillariophyceae; Surirellales; Surirellaceae. The record is from RNAcentral.
GAAAUGCGAUACGUAGUGCGAAUUGCAAUACCUCGUGAAUCAUCAAGAUUUUGAACGCACAUUGCGCUGUCUGGGAAUUCCUGGCAGCAUGUUUGUCUGAGUGUCAGCGGCACCCAACUUGUCUGGUCCUAUUGGGCCACGACAGCCUGUGGGAUUGGAGGGUCCUGGGCCCUGCCUCUUCCCAAGCCGCAGUACUCUGGUUGUCAACAACUCCAGUGCCUAUGCCUGAUGGUUGGGCUGCAUUAGUAAUAACAGGCCAGUGCAAGGCCGCCAUAGGGCAGGGGCCGUUGGCUCCUAUCACGACCCUGAUCUCAGCUCAAACAAGAAGACCCGCUGAAUUUAAGCAUAUAAUUAAGCGGAGGAAAAGAAACUAACUAGGAUUGGUCC